CCAGGAGGAAAAGGACAUUUGUUGGGAACUGGACCUCUGUGUAAGGAAACAGACUGUACGAAUGAUUGGACAGGCUGUAUGUACUUGGGGACCAGCGUACUGGUGUAAGAACCCACGUACAGCCACCAUGUGCAAUGCUUUUGAUUACUGUAAGAAACGCCGCUGGAAACAGGACUAAUUUCAUAUCACUGGUGGAAGGCAACAGAAAUUGAAUACUUAAAAAAAUGCAAAGGCUCUUCCUUUAGUACCAGUUAAAUGAUGAUUCUGCUUGUGUGUGUGCAUGUUUCCUUUAAGCAAUUUUGUGUUGCUGUAGCUUGUGCAUUCAAUGCAAUCUCUUUUAUUGUGAGAUGUUACAGAGACGAGAUUAUUGGUAAUCCUUUACUUCCAUCGAAUCAACAUUGCCAGAUGCUAUAUACGCAGAGUUUCAAUGACAAAUAUUGAUUGGGGUUUUGAUUUCAUCAACUGUAAAAAUUCAGCAGACUAAAGUGCUUUAAGAUCA
Molecule: long non-coding RNA, 499 nt
Organism: Hypanus sabinus (Atlantic stingray)
Lineage: Eukaryota; Metazoa; Chordata; Chondrichthyes; Myliobatiformes; Dasyatidae
Exons: 3
Source: RefSeq, a predicted model, not a curated record